RNAcentral lists this ribosomal RNA (713 nucleotides) under uncultured archaeon. RNAcentral describes it as "bacterial SSU rRNA". It matches the Rfam family "Archaeal small subunit ribosomal RNA", at positions 64 to 776 of the family's 1478-position model. The record is from RNAcentral.
GUUUCUUCGGAAACCUUGGCGGUCUGCUCAGUAACACGUGGAUAACCUACCCUUGGGACUGGAAUAACCCCGGGAAACUGGGGAUAAUACCGGAUAGAUCAGGGAUGCUGGAAUGCACCUUGAUCCAAAGCUCCGGCGCCCAAGGAUGGGUCUGCGGCCGAUCAGGUAGUAGUGGGUGUAACGUACCUACUAGCCAACGACGGGUACGGGUUGUGAGAGCAAGAGCCCGGAGAUGGAUUCUGAGACACGAAUCCAGGCCCUACGGGGUGCAGCAGGCGCGAAACCUUUACAAUGUGCGAAAGCAUGAUAAGGGAACUCCGAGUGCCAGCAUCUAAUGUUGGCUGUCCUUGUGCCUAAAACGCACAAGAUAGCAAGGGCCGGGUAAGACCGGUGCCAGCCGCCGCGGUAACACCGGCGGCCCGAGUGGUAGCCGCUAUUAUUGGGUCUAAAGGGUCCGUAGCCGGUUCGAUAAGUCCUCUGGGAAAUCUGGUUGCUUAACAAUCAGACUGCCAAGGGAUACUGUCGAACUUGAGACCGGGUAGAGGUAAGAGGUACUUCAGGGGUAGGAGUGAAAUCUUGUAAUCCCUGGGGGACCAUCUGUGGCGAAGGCGUCUUACCAGAACGGGUCUGACGGUGAGGGACGAAAGCUGGGGGCGCAAACCGGAUUAGAUACCCGGGUAGUCCCAGCCGUAAACGAUGCUCGCUAUGUGUCA